UGGGCAACCUGCCCCUCUCUCUGGGAUAACCCCCGGGAAACCGGAGCUAAUACCGGAUACGAGACCGAGUGGCAUCACACGGUCUGGAAAGUUUUUCGGUUAGGGAUGGGGUCGCGGCCUAUCAGCUUGUUGGUGGGGUAAUGGCCUACCAAGGCGACGACGGGUAGCCGGCCUGAGAGGGCGACCGGCCACACUGGGACUGAGACACGGCCCGGACUCCUACGAGAGGCA
RNAcentral lists this ribosomal RNA (231 nucleotides) under uncultured bacterium. Its description in RNAcentral is "partial 16S ribosomal RNA". It matches the Rfam family "Bacterial small subunit ribosomal RNA", at positions 118 to 350 of the family's 1533-position model. The record is from RNAcentral.